This 662-nucleotide ribosomal RNA is filed under the name uncultured bacterium. RNAcentral describes it as "bacterial SSU rRNA". It matches the Rfam family "Bacterial small subunit ribosomal RNA", at positions 232 to 885 of the family's 1533-position model. The record is from RNAcentral.
CGCGGCCUAUCAGCUUGUUGGUGGGGUAACGGCCCACCAAGGCGAUGACGGGUAGCUGGUCUCAGCGGAUGAUCAGCCACACGGGGACUGAGACACGGCCCCGACUCCUACGGGAGGCAGCAGUGGGGAAUUUUGGACAAUGGGCGAAAGCCUGAUCCAGCGACGCCGCGUGCGGGAGGAAGCCCUUCGGGGUGUAAACCGCUGUCAGGGGGGAAGAACCGGCUCGGGCGAAUAGUUCGGGCAACUGACGGUACCCCCAGAGGAAGCGCCGGCUAACUCCGUGCCAGCAGCCGCGGUAAUACGGAGGGCGCAAGCGUUGUUCGGAAUUACUGGGCGUAAAGGGGGCGCAGGUGGCUUGGUAAGUCCUAUGUGAAAGCCCGCGGCUCAACCGCGGAAUUGCAUAGGAUACUGCCGAGCUUGAGACGGGUAGAGGCGAGUAGAAUUCCCGGUGUAGCGGUGGAAUGCGUAGAUAUCGGGAAGAAUACCAGUGGCGAAGGCGGCUCGCUGGGCCCGUUCUGACGCUCAGGCCCGAAAGCGUGGGGAGCAAACAGGAUUAGAUACCCUGGUAGUCCACGCCGUAAACGAUGGGCACUAGGUGCCGGGGAGUGUGACCUUUUCGGUGCCGUAGCUAACGCGUUAAGUGCCCCGCCUGGGGAGUACGG